RNAcentral lists this signal recognition particle RNA (99 nucleotides) under Candidatus Cloacimonadota bacterium. RNAcentral describes it as "signal recognition particle sRNA small type". It matches the Rfam family "Bacterial small signal recognition particle RNA". From Rfam's summary of the family: The signal recognition particle (SRP) is a universally conserved ribonucleoprotein involved in the co-translational targeting of proteins to membranes. Lineage: Bacteria; Pseudomonadati; Candidatus Cloacimonadota. The record is from RNAcentral.
UGCCAGGUCCAGCGCAAUGGCUGCUUGUGAACCAUGUCAGAUCAGGAAUGAAGCAGCAUUAAGCAAACACAGUCAUGUGUCGCUGCCAACCUGGCAUUA